UACAGAGGGUGCGAGCGUUGUCCGGAAUCAUUGGGCGUAAAGAGCGCGUAGGCGGCCAGAUAAGUCCGGUGUGAAAGUCACAGGCUCAACCUGUGAAUGCCGCUGGAAACUGUCUGGCUAGAGUCCGGAAGGGGCGAGUGGAAUUCCUGGUGUAGCGGUGAAAUGCGCAGAUAUCAGGAGGAACACCGAUUGCGAAGGCAGCUCGCUGGGACGUUACUGACGCUGAGACGCGAAAGCGUGGGGAGCAAACAGG
This 253-nucleotide ribosomal RNA is filed under the name uncultured bacterium. RNAcentral describes it as "partial 16S ribosomal RNA". It matches the Rfam family "Bacterial small subunit ribosomal RNA", at positions 524 to 776 of the family's 1533-position model. The record is from RNAcentral.